UUCAAGAGUUCACAGAAUCUACGGAGGUGCCAGCGUUGGGCUUGGAGACUAUGUCAUGAGAAGCAAUGCCCAAAUCACCCCAUGAGCCUGGUCAGUAAAAAACCUACUUCUUCCACCCUUAGGCACAGACACCUCAUCCCAGGACAGAUGCUGGACACCGAAUAUGGGCCCCUGCCACUGUUGCCACCCAUCAGGACAUCUCUUCAUCACUGCUGGCUGGAAAAGCACUUCUCCACUCUGUCUUUUUGCCCUCUUUUCACAUGGACACCUCUCUUGAGUGCAUCUAGCUUUUUAAGCCCAAGGCUAGGAAAGAUUUUAACCGGACCACUAAUGUCAGAAAGGAUGCCAAUACACUCAGUGGAGAGCUGCUGCUCAUUUUCCCUGCGCAAGAUACAGAAAUCUGGAAUUCAAAGAGGUACACGAUUAUACCCUUUACCUUAAAGAGCUUAUAAUCAGUGGUAAACAGACAGAGGAAACAUAAUCAUGAGAAAAUCCCAGCAGAAGGCAUCCUUUUCUACUAUUUGCCACUUACUGCAGAUAAAGAGGAUGCCUAAUUCACCAUGGGCUGGGAUGAUGGGGAAUUCCAUCCCUGGGGCAGAGGCUAGUGUGGCAGGGGUUGUUGUGGGGUGUGUGUGUCUGUGUGUGUGUGCAUGCACACAUGUGUGUAUGCUUGUGUGAAGAAGACCAAAGCAUUAAGGAAAGAAAACAAGGUAGCAAAGGGUAGCUGGAGGACUGAGUAUGUACAGCCUGACAUGAGACAUAGAGUUAGGAUUGAGUCUAUAGGUUAAAGUGAACCCCACCAUCUCAUCUGGCACUUCAGAUCACAAGGCCUUUACUAUUUCCAUCUUGCUUUUUCCUAAGUGGGUGUAAUUUCUAUACAGGUUCACCAAACCAGGAACUCUACAAUAUUUGGGACAAAAGCCUUUGUUAUCUCCCCAUUGUUCAUUUCCAGGAAGUUCUAUCAAUGUUAAAAAAAAAAAAAAAAAAAAAAGCUUCUAACAUGUGCAUUUGGGUCAGUAUUCUUCUAAAGGUGAAGAAUAAAGGGACUCAGCCCUAGAAGAAUAUCCUCUAAUUACUAGCUCGCUAUUUUGAUCUUUGGCUUCGAAGUAAAUGGCUUCCCUUUUGGUCAUUUAUUGAUUUCCUCUUUGAAAAUUUUUUGUUCCCAUAUAUCAUCAUUUUGCACACAUCUUGCCAGACCCCUGUUCUCGAUUGCUAUUAUAAAUUUUUCCUUCUUCUCAUACAUUGUUCAAGCCAUUUUCUGAGUUAAAACAGAUAAAUAAGAAACUAUUUAUUUAUUUAUUUCUUCCAGAUGUCUUUGCUGGACCUGAAACCGCCAUUUCCUAAACUUAUCGUAUUUGUAUAGUCAAAAAUUAUUUUUAACUUUGCUUGGCUUGCAUUUAAAUUUUCUUUCUUUCUUUCUUUUUUCCCUGGGAAGUGUCCUAGUCUGCUUUUCUUAAAUGCCUUUCCCAUAAUUUAAUGAAAAGGGACAAAAGUAGAGGGAAGACAUUGAACAAUGGCCAAUGGGGAGGAUAAAAAAAAUACCCUUUACAUGUGGUGACUUUGAAAGAUUAACUUUUCAAGUGUAACCAUACAUAUAAAACCACUACUGUUUUUGUUGCUUUAAAAGCAUAGGGUAAGAGUUCUCUUUGAAAUGAUUAUUAAAACUAUUAAAUAAUUAUGUAUACCCUUGUUAUUAUGUCAGUUUAAAGGUUUAUUACACUGGGUAAAUCCGAGGAACAUAUUGGCUGGUAAGCCGGUUGUUUUCUGGUUUCAGGUGGAAUUGAAAUUCAGCUACAUUUUAUUCAGAAACUAAAUUCAGCUACAUUUUAUUCAGAAACUAAAUGAUGCUAUUUACCAUUACAUAGGACUUCUCUUAGCAACCAAUUUUCUUUAUGCGACUAAAGAUAAUGUUAGUAGGAGCCUCAAUGUCUGGUUAUAAUGUAUUCAAAGCCAGCAUACUUGAGAAGAAGUCUGUGAGUAAGAAUGUUCCAGUUGUCUUUGUGUUAGUAGCUUUAAUCCAGGGAUGAUAAGGAAGGGAAAGGAAUUAACAUGAACUAGGGACCACUAAUAAGCCAGGCAUUUUUACAUUUUAUGAUUUCUAUACUCCCUAUAAAGCCACAUUUUAUCUUCCUUUCUUUGAGUUGAAGACUCUGAGGCUCAGAGAGGUCAAGUCACUUGCAUAAGGUCACACAGCUAGUAAAUGGCUGAGCAGAGGUGGACUUUAGAUGUAUCUGACUGUAAGGAUUGCCAUUCUUCCACUGAAAACCAAUGCCUCUACCUGAAUGGAAGGGUAUCUUUUUUGGUAGGAAGGAGAUAUAUUAUAGAAUGGGG
Molecule: long non-coding RNA, 2331 nt
Organism: Macaca mulatta (Rhesus monkey)
Lineage: Eukaryota; Metazoa; Chordata; Mammalia; Primates; Cercopithecidae
Source: Ensembl